This is a non-coding RNA of Paramuricea clavata, 516 nucleotides long. The record is from the annotation of a GenBank genome assembly. NCBI's taxonomy places the organism in Eukaryota, Metazoa, Cnidaria, Anthozoa, Malacalcyonacea, Plexauridae.
CGGCAAAAAUUGGGUAUUCAUUGUAGACAAAAAAUUUUUUUUAUAGAUAUAUUAUAAUGAUAAAUAUGAUUUUUGAGGUUUGGGUUUGAGAUCUAUUUACAAUCAUUAUAUUCUGAAAAUUGGAUCAAAUUUGGACUAAUAUUGAAUGAGAGAGAGCGUCCCGACUUCGGUAAAAUGUCAUUUUGAGAAAAUCGAGUUCAAAGUUGCACGAUAACUUUUGAAGACAAACAAAUUACAUUUAAACAGAUAAAUUACAUCAAAGUUUAUUUGAAAUGAACUUGCUGCAUAUGUUUUUCCCUCUUCUACUUCAUUCUUGUCACCUUUCCUCUUAUUUCUUCCCCUGAUGACCUUUCUCUACACUUUAUUCUUCUCCUUCACCUUGUAGCUAGAUUUCGUAACACGAAGCCGAUCGGCUUCCUUUACUCCAGCAACACAAAAAGCUCCUGGAUUUAUUACCAAAGGCUUUGAAGACUUCAAUAGUUGCUUUGGCACUAAAGUUGAAAUGAUGCAUGCUUU